RNAcentral lists this ribosomal RNA (873 nucleotides) under uncultured bacterium. RNAcentral's name for it is "bacterial SSU rRNA". It matches the Rfam family "Bacterial small subunit ribosomal RNA", at positions 82 to 941 of the family's 1533-position model. The record is from RNAcentral.
AACAUUGCAAUGAGUGGCGAACGGGUGAGUAACACGUGGGAAACCUACCUCUUAGCAGGGGAUAACAUUUGGAAACAAAUGCUAAUACCGUAUAAUAAUUAAAACCGCAUGGUUUUAGUUUAAAAGAUGGUCUUGCUAUCACUAAGAGAUGGUCCCGCGGUGUAUUAGUUAGUUGGUGAGGUAAUGGCUCACCAAGACAAUGAUACAUAGCCGAGUUGAGAGACUGACCGGCCACAAUGGGACUGAGACACGGCCCAUACUCCUACGGGAGGCAGCAGUAGGGAAUCUUCCACAAUGGACGAAAGUCUGAUGGAGCAACGCCGCGUGUGUGAUGAAGGGUUUCGGCUCGUAAAACACUGUUGUAAGAGAAGAAUGACAUUGAGAGUAACUGUUCAAUGUGUGACGGUAUCUUACCAGAAAGGAACGGCUAAAUACGUGCCAGCAGCCGCGGUAAUACGUAUGUUCCAAGCGUUAUCCGGAUUUAUUGGGCGUAAAGCGAGCGCAGACGGUUAUUUAAGUCUGAAGUGAAAGCCCUCGGCUCAACCGAGGAAUUGCUUUGGAAACUGGAUAACUUGAGUGCAGUAGAGGAAAGUGGAACUCCAUGUGUAGCGGUGAAAUGCGUAGAUAUAUGGAAGAACACCAGUGGCGAAGGCGGCUUUCUGGACUGUAACUGACGUUGAGGCUCGAAAGUGUGGGUAGCAAACAGGAUUAGAUACCCUGGUAGCCCACACUGUAAACGAUGAGUGCUAGUUGUUUGAGGGUUUCCGCCCUUGAGUGACGAAGCUAACGCAUUAAGCACUCCGCCUGGGGAGUACGACCGCAAGGUUGAAACUCAAAGGAAUUGACGGGGACCCGCACAAGCGGUGGAGCAUG